RNAcentral lists this ribosomal RNA (570 nucleotides) under aff. Alternaria sp. Its description in RNAcentral is "eukaryotic LSU rRNA". The stretch from base 216 to 369 matches the Rfam family "5.8S ribosomal RNA". Lineage: Eukaryota; Fungi; Ascomycota; Dothideomycetes; Pleosporales; Pleosporaceae. The record is from RNAcentral.
GUAAAAGUCGUAACAAGGUCUCCGUAGGUGAACCUGCGGAGGGAUCAUUACACAAAUAUGAAGGCGGGCUGGAACCUCUCGGGGUUACAGCCUUGCUGAAUUAUUCACCCUUGUCUUUUGCGUACUUCUUGUUUCCUUGGUGGGUUCGCCCACCACUAGGACAAACAUAAACCUUUUGUAAUUGCAAUCAGCGUCAGUAACAAAUUAAUAAUUACAACUUUCAACAACGGAUCUCUUGGUUCUGGCAUCGAUGAAGAACGCAGCGAAAUGCGAUAAGUAGUGUGAAUUGCAGAAUUCAGUGAAUCAUCGAAUCUUUGAACGCACAUUGCGCCCUUUGGUAUUCCAAAGGGCAUGCCUGUUCGAGCGUCAUUUGUACCCUCAAGCUUUGCUUGGUGUUGGGCGUCUUGUCUCUAGCUUUGCUGGAGACUCGCCUUAAAGUAAUUGGCAGCCGGCCUACUGGUUUCGGAGCGCAGCACAAGUCGCACUCUCUAUCAGCAAAGGUCUAGCAUCCAUUAAGCCUUUUUUUCAACUUUUGACCUCGGAUCAGGUAGGGAUACCCGCUGAACUUAA